CUUGACGGAGCCGAGCCGCAGCGGCCGCUGCGGGUCGCGGCCCUGCCCGUAGGUGGCGAGCAGGGCCUGGGCCUC
This 75-nucleotide antisense RNA is filed under the name Streptomyces leeuwenhoekii. Its description in RNAcentral is "ASpks sRNA". It matches the Rfam family "ASpks TB sRNA". The record is from RNAcentral. Lineage: Bacteria; Bacillati; Actinomycetota; Actinomycetes; Kitasatosporales; Streptomycetaceae.